UACAGAGGUGGCAAGCGUUGUUCGGAAUUACUGGGCGUAAAGGGCGCGUAGGCGGCCCGUCAAGUCCCGUGUGAAAGCCCCCGGCUCAACCGGGGAACGGCGCGGGAAACUAGCAGGCUUGAGUUCGGGAGAGGGAAGCGGAAUUCCGGGUGUAGCGGUGAAAUGCGUAGAUAUCCGGAGGAACACCGGUGGCGAAGGCGGCUUCCUGGACCGACACUGACGCUGAGGCGCGAAAGCUAGGGGAGCAAACGGG
This 253-nucleotide ribosomal RNA is filed under the name uncultured bacterium. RNAcentral describes it as "partial 16S ribosomal RNA". It matches the Rfam family "Bacterial small subunit ribosomal RNA", at positions 524 to 776 of the family's 1533-position model. The record is from RNAcentral.